This 468-nucleotide ribosomal RNA is filed under the name Bambusiphaga taibaishana. RNAcentral describes it as "partial 16S ribosomal RNA". Lineage: Eukaryota; Metazoa; Arthropoda; Insecta; Hemiptera; Delphacidae. The record is from RNAcentral.
UUUAAAUAGCUGCAGUAAUUUAACUGUACAAAGGUAGCAUAGUAAUUAGUCUUUUAAUUGAGGUCUAGAAUGAAUGGUUCAACAAGAAAAUAACUUUAUUAAUUUAAUAAAAUUUUAAUUUAAUUUUUUAGUUAAAAAGCUAAAAUUUUUAAGUGGGACGAUAAGACCCUAUAGAUCUUUAAUUUUUUAAAUUAUUUUUUUUUUAGAUAAAUAAAAUUUAUAAUAUUAAGAAAUUUUGGUUGGGGUGACAUUAAAAUUUUAAAAACUUUUUUUUAUAUCUACAUUUGUUUAUGGAAUUCAUGAUCUUAAAUUUUUGAUUAAAAGAAAAAGAUACCUUAGGGAUAACAGCGUAAUAAAUUUGGAUAGUUCAUAUUAAUAAAUUUUGUUUACGACCUCGAUGUUGAAUUAAUUUAAAAAUUUGAAGCAGAAAUUAAAUAUUUGGGUCUGUUCGACCUUUAAUUAGUUACA